AUGAACGCUGGCGGCGUGCCUAAUACAUGCAAGUCGAGCGAACAGACGAGGAGCUUGCUCCUCUGACGCUAGCGGCGGACGGGUGAGUAACACGUGGAUAACCUACCUAUAAGACUGGGAUAACUUCGGGAAACCGGAGCUAAUACCGGAUAAUAUAUUGAACCGCAUGGUUCAAUAGUGAAAGACGGUUUUGCUGUCACUUAUAGAUGGAUCCGCGCCGCAUUAGCUAGUUGGUAAGGUAACGGCUUACCAAGGCAACGAUGCGUAGCCGACCUGAGAGGGUGAUCGGCCACACUGGAACUGAGACACGGUCCAGACUCCUACGGGAGGCAGCAGUAGGGAAUCUUCCGCAAUGGGCGAAAGCCUGACGGAGCAACGCCGCGUGAGUGAUGAAGGUCUUCGGAUCGUAAAACUCUGUUAUUAGGGAAGAACAAAUGUGUAAGUAACUAUGCACGUCUUGACGGUACCUAAUCAGAAAGCCACGGCUAACUACGU
RNAcentral lists this ribosomal RNA (495 nucleotides) under uncultured bacterium. RNAcentral describes it as "partial 16S ribosomal RNA". It matches the Rfam family "Bacterial small subunit ribosomal RNA", at positions 29 to 506 of the family's 1533-position model. The record is from RNAcentral.